RNAcentral lists this ribosomal RNA (881 nucleotides) under Mariannaea superimposita. Its description in RNAcentral is "SSU rRNA". It matches the Rfam family "Eukaryotic small subunit ribosomal RNA", at positions 98 to 988 of the family's 1831-position model. Lineage: Eukaryota; Fungi; Ascomycota; Sordariomycetes; Hypocreales; Nectriaceae. The record is from RNAcentral.
UCAUUAUAUAAGUUAUCGUUUAUUUGAUAGUACCUUACUACUUGGAUAACCGUGGUAAUUCUAGAGCUAAUACAUGCUAAAAAUCCCGACUUUGGAAGGGAUGUAUUUAUUAGAUUAAAAACCAAUGCCCUUCGGGGCUCUCUGGUGAUUCAUGAUAACUUCUCGAAUCGCAUGGCCUUGCGCCGGCGAUGGUUCAUUCAAAUUUCUUCCCUAUCAACUUUCGAUGUUUGGGUAUUGGCCAAACAUGGUUGCAACGGGUAACGGAGGGUUAGGGCUCGACCCCGGAGAAGGAGCCUGAGAAACGGCUACUACAUCCAAGGAAGGCAGCAGGCGCGCAAAUUACCCAAUCCCGACACGGGGAGGUAGUGACAAUAAAUACUGAUACAGGGCUCUUUUGGGUCUUGUAAUUGGAAUGAGUACAAUUUAAACCCCUUAACGAGGAACAAUUGGAGGGCAAGUCUGGUGCCAGCAGCCGCGGUAAUUCCAGCUCCAAUAGCGUAUAUUAAAGUUGUUGUGGUUAAAAAGCUCGUAGUUGAACCUUGGGCCUGGCUGGCCGGUCCGCCUCACCGCGUGUACUGGUCCGGCCGGGCCUUUCCCUCUGUGGAACCCCAUGCCCUUCACUGGGUGUGGUGGGGAAACAGGACUUUUACUUUGAAAAAAUUAGAGUGCUCCAGGCAGGCCUAUGCUCGAAUACAUUAGCAUGGAAUAAUAGAAUAGGACGUGUGGUUCUAUUUUGUUGGUUUCUAGGACCGCCGUAAUGAUUAAUAGGGACAGUCGGGGGCAUCAGUAUUCAAUUGUCAGAGGUGAAAUUCUUGGAUUUAUUGAAGACUAACUACUGCGAAAGCAUUUGCCAAGGAUGUUUUCAUUAAUCAGGAACGAAA